RNAcentral lists this ribosomal RNA (566 nucleotides) under Cervus elaphus hippelaphus. RNAcentral describes it as "partial 16S ribosomal RNA". The record is from RNAcentral. Lineage: Eukaryota; Metazoa; Chordata; Mammalia; Artiodactyla; Cervidae.
GUUGUCCAGAAAAUGAAUAUUAGUUCAGCUUUAAAAAAUACCAAAAAUAUGAACAAAUUAUAAUGUAUUUUUAAAAGUUAGUCUAAAAAGGUACAGCCUUUUAGAAAUGGAUACAACCUUAACUAGAGAGUAAACCCUAACAUCAAACCAUAGUGGGCCUAAAAGCAGCCACCAAUUAAGAAAGCGUUAAAGCUCAACAAUAAAAUAAUACUAAUUCCAAUAAUAAACAGUCAACUCCUAGUCUAAUACUGGACUAAUCUAUUAAAAAUAGAAGCAAUAAUGUUAACAUGAGUAACAAGAAAUAACUUCUCCCCGCAUAAGUUUAAGUCAGUAUCUGAUAAUAUUCUGACUAUUAACAGCAAAAUAAGAAUAACCUAACUAUAAAUAACUUAUUAAUUAUACUGUUAAUCCGACACAGGAAUGCACUUAGGGAAAGAUUAAAAGAAGUAAAAGGAACUCGGCAAACACUAAACCCCGCCUGUUUACCAAAAACAUCACCUCCAGCAUAACUAGUAUUGGAGGCACUGCCUGCCCAGUGACGACCGUUAAACGGCCGCGGUAUCCUG